This 441-nucleotide ribosomal RNA is filed under the name uncultured bacterium. Its description in RNAcentral is "partial 16S ribosomal RNA". It matches the Rfam family "Bacterial small subunit ribosomal RNA", at positions 338 to 795 of the family's 1533-position model. The record is from RNAcentral.
CCUACGGGAGGCAGCAGUGGGGAAUAUUGCACAAUGGCGGAAACCCUGAUGCAGCAACGCCGCGUGAAGGAAGACGGUUCUCGGAUUGUUAACUUCUGUUCUUAGUGAAGAAUAAUGACGAUAGCUAAGGAGCAAGCCACGGCUUAAUACGUGCCAGCAGCCGCGGUAAUACGUAGGUGGCAAGCGUUGUCCGGAAUUACUGGGUAGAAAGGGAGCGCAGGCGGGAAGCCAACUCAGCUGUGAAAACUACGGGCUUAACUUGUAGACUGCAGUUGAAACUGGUUUUCUUGAGUGAAGUAGAGGUAGGCGGAAUUCGGGGUGUAGCGGUGAAAUGCGUAGAUAUUCGGAGGAACACCGGUGGCGAAGGCGGCCAACUGGGCUUUAACUGACGCUGAGGCUCGAAAGUGUGGGGAGCGAACAGGAUUAGAUACCCUAGUAGUC